Populus trichocarpa (black cottonwood) is the source of this 482-nucleotide long non-coding RNA. RefSeq lists it as uncharacterized. The record is from RefSeq and is a predicted model, not a curated record. The transcript is spliced from 2 exons. Lineage: Eukaryota; Viridiplantae; Streptophyta; Magnoliopsida; Malpighiales; Salicaceae.
CAUAUAUUUCUGCUCUUAUUUUCUAUAAUUCCUGUCGUGGUCCCACUGGUUUGGACGGUUGUCUUGGUUUCUUGGAUCUGUUCCAUCAAUUUCCAAGUCAUAUCCAUACAUUUAAAGCUUUAGACUCUCACGGCUAUCCACGAUGUAAAGAGCAACUUGAUUUAUUUCUAUGGAGCAGAUAUCUCCACUUUGCAUUUGGUUGGGAUGGUGCCAUGAUGUCUUUAAAACAAGAAUAGGAGUGGGGAAAUUGAUGCAGUCGGCCUAAGAUAAUAGGUGAUUUUGAGCCAUUAGAUGUGAGUUUGCUAUAAUUAUACAAAGAUCUGUCUCAAACAGAUUACGCGGAUGCCCUAACAAAUAUAUUUAUAGACUAGUGAGAUAGAUUAAGGCCUAGAAAGAUCUAGUCAUGCUAGAUCAAAAUAACAGUUCAAAUAGGUCAUGACUUUUAAUUUGAUUGUUGAAUCGCAUUCAAAUAUUUACAGGAA